AUCUGCCCGGUAGUGGGGGAUAACGUGGGGAAACCCACGCUAAUACCGCAUACGUCCUACGGGAGAAAGCAGGGGAUCUUCGGACCUUGCGCUAUCGGAUGAGCCUAUGUCGGAUUAGCUAGUUGGUAAGGUAACGGCUUACCAAGGCGACGAUCCGUAGCUGGUCUGAGAGGAUGAUCAGCCACACUGGGACUGAGACACGGCCCAGACUCCUACGGGAGGCAGCAGUGGGGAAUAUUGGACAAUGGGCGAAAGCCUGAUCCAGCCAUGCCGCGUGUGUGAAGAAGGCUUUCGGGGUUGUAAAGCACUUUCAGCGAGGAAGAAAGCCUCUGGGUUAAUACCCCAGAGGAAGGACAUCACUCGCAGAAGAAGCACCGGCUAACUCCGUGCCAGCAGCCGCGGUAAUACGGAGGGUGCGAGCGUUAAUCGGAAUUACUGGGCGUAAAGCGCGCGUAGGUGGCUUGGCACGCCGGUUGUGAAAGCCCCGGGGCUCAACCUGGGAACGG
This 506-nucleotide ribosomal RNA is filed under the name uncultured Halomonas sp. Its description in RNAcentral is "bacterial SSU rRNA". It matches the Rfam family "Bacterial small subunit ribosomal RNA", at positions 124 to 623 of the family's 1533-position model. Lineage: Bacteria; Pseudomonadati; Pseudomonadota; Gammaproteobacteria; Oceanospirillales; Halomonadaceae. The record is from RNAcentral.